Papaver somniferum (opium poppy) is the source of this 2604-nucleotide long non-coding RNA. RefSeq lists it as uncharacterized. The transcript is spliced from 8 exons. The record is from RefSeq and is a predicted model, not a curated record. Lineage: Eukaryota; Viridiplantae; Streptophyta; Magnoliopsida; Ranunculales; Papaveraceae.
UCGGGGGAGAUGUUGAAUGUUGUAGUUAUUUGAUACUGGUUCUUUCUCCUAUGAUUUCAUUUGUGUUAGUGUAUUUGCCUAUUGGUUAAAAAAGUAUUUAACUAACUUUUUUUUAAUUAAUUUCCUAUUUUUUUCUCAAAAGGGGAAUGUUUUGCGGGGAUUUAGAGGGGACAGGGUUUAAGUUUAUAUACGUGUUAGAAAAAGAAAGGGGCCGCAUCCUAGCCGGGGCGCAUAAAAAUCAGAAAAAACAAUCUUACGGUUUAGAUUCAGAAUGAGUAAUUUAAGCGCAUGACCUCGUUAUCAUUGGAAACCCCCCCUCAAAAAGGGACCAGAAACUUCUACCACCUCUUAUAUCAAUUAAUUAUUAGAGGAACCUCUUGCCCUUUUCUUCGGUCAAAGAAACCUUAACAUCAAACACAUUCGCUUAGAUCUUCUGCUGAAAUUCUUCUUUGCUAAUGGAGGCGGCGCGAUCGAAAGUUCUUAGAGAUGUUCUAGCUAUUUGGAGAGCUAAAAGAUCCUGUCCGCCAAUUAAUGCUACAGCAGCACAGCGAGCUGCAACAUCAUGCAAGUGCUGCCACAAGCCGGAGGAUAAGUUCCGUGAACUAGAACGUGCUAAGCUACGUGAAGGUAAUAAACGAUGAUGUUGUCAAUUCUGAGGCCAAGCUCCAUACCAUGUUUGUGAAGUGGCUCGCGUAUAAUGAACACAACCAUUUUGAUCUGGAAGACCCCAAAGCUUUUAGAGAGAGGUUUGGUAUUUUUAAGGGCACUGCUCGGUUCUUAGAGAUGUUAUAGCUAUUUGGAGAGCUAAAAGAUCUUGUGGGAAUGUUUUGCGGGGAUUUAGAGGGGACAGGGUUUAAGUUUAUAUACGUGUUAGAAAAAGAAAGGGGCCGCAUCCUAGCCGGGGCGCAUAAAAAUCAGAAAAAACAAUCUUACGGUUUAGAUUCAAAAUGAGUAAUUUAAGCGCAUGACCUCGUUAUCAUUGGAAACCCCUCUCAAAAAGGGACCAGAAACUUCUACCACCUCUUAUAUCAAUUAAUUAUUAGAGGAACCUCUUGCCAUUUUCUUCGGUCAAAGAAACCCUAACAUCAAACACAUUUCCUUAAAUCUUCUGCUGAAAUUCUUCUUUGCUAAUGGAGGAGGCGCGAUCGAAAGUUCUUAGAGAUGUUCUAGCUAUUUGGAGAGCUAAAAGAUCCUGUGGGAAUGUUUUGCGGGGAUUUAGAGGGGACAGGGUUUAAGUUUAUAUACGUGUUAGAAAAAGAAAGGGGCCGCAUCCUAGCCGGGGCGCAUAAAAAUCAGAAAAAACAAUCUUACGGUUUAGAUUCAGAAUGAGUAAUUUAAGCGCAUGACCUCGUUAUCAUUGGAAACCCCCCCUCAAAAAGGGACCAGAAACUUCUACCACCUCUUAUAUCAAUUAAUUAUUAGAGGAACCUCUUGCCCUUUUCUUCGGUCAAAGAAACCUUAACAUCAAACACAUUCGCUUAGAUUUUCUGCUGAAAUUCUUCUUUGCUAAUGGAGGCGGCGCGAUCGAAAGUUCUUAGAGAUGUUCUAGCUAUUUGGAGAGCUAAAAGAUCCUGUGGGAAUGUUUUGCGGGGAUUUAGAGGGGACAGGGUUUAAGUUUAUAUACGUGUUAGAAAAAGAAAGGGGCCGCAUCCUAGCCGGGGCGCAUAAAAAUCAGAAAAAACAAUCUUACGGUUUAGAUUCAGAAUGAGUAAUUUAAGCGCAUGACCUCGUUAUCAUUGGAAACCCCUCUCAAAAAGGGACCAGAAACUUCUACCACCUCUUAUAUCAAUUAAUUAUUAGAGGAACCUCUUGCCCUUUUCUUCGGUCAAAGAAACCUUAACAUCAAACACAUUCGCUUAGAUCUUCUGCUGAAAUUCUUCUUUGCUAAUGGAGGCGGCGCGAUCGAAAGUUCUUAGAGAUGUUCUAGCUAUUUGGAGAGCUAAAAGAUCCUGUCCGCCAAUUAAUGCUACAGCAGCACAGCGAGGUGCAACAUCAUGCAAGUGCUGCCACAAGUCGGAGGAUAAGUUCCGUGAACUAAAACGUGCUAAGCUACGUGAAGGUAAUAAACGAUGAUGUUGUCAAUUCUGAGGCUAAGCUCCAUACCCUGUUUGUGAAGUGGCUCGCGUAUAAUGAACACAACCAUUUUGAUCUGGAAGACCCCAAAGCUUUUAGAGAGAGGUUUGGUAUUUUUAAGGGCACUGCUCGGUUCAUCAACCAACAUAACAAAAGCGGCUCUCCCACCAUUUGUGGAUUAACCCCUUUUGAAGAUUUGACUCUUGAUGAGUUUGGAAGUAGUUCGUGGAAGACCUAUCCGAAGAAACCUAACCAGGUUAUAGCUGGUAUACCCGAGUGCAUGGAUCAGAAAGCUAAUUAACUAACCAGGUCGUAGCUGCUGGUAUUGCUGUGUUUGGUCUUAAUAUGAGUGUGGGAAGUUUCUAGUUAUUUAUUUUGAUGUAUUCUGCUGUUGGACGAGUAGUAGUAGUUUAGUAAUAGCAGUAGUAGGUCUUGAAAUGGAACUCUUUGUUGAAACUUGAUUGCAUCUUCUCUGGCUGUAAAUUCUAGUAUUGGGUUUCAGACCUUUUUUCUAUAAAAUUUGUUGUGCAA